GAUGAAGAACGUAGUGAAAUGCGAUAAGUAAUGUGAAUUGCAGAAUUCAGUGAAUCAUCGAAUCUUUGAACGCACAUUGCGCCCCUUGGUAUUCCGGGGGGCACACCUGUUCGAGCGUCAUUACACCAAUCAAGCUUUGCUUGGUAUUGGGUAUAGUCCCUAUUUUUAGGGACCGACCUUAAAAUCUUUGGCGGCGCAGUCCGGCUUCAGGCGUAGCAGAAAUUACUCGUCUAUGGGGUCUGGGUUGGUGUCUUGUCCAUAAAAUUUUUAUUUUUCAAAGGUUGACCUCGGAUCAGGUGGGGAUACCCGCUGAACUUAAGCAUAUCAAUAAGCGGAGGA
RNAcentral lists this unclassified non-coding RNA (339 nucleotides) under soil metagenome. RNAcentral describes it as "partial contains 5.8S ribosomal RNA, internal transcribed spacer 2, and large subunit ribosomal RNA". The stretch from base 1 to 120 matches the Rfam family "5.8S ribosomal RNA", at positions 35 to 154 of the family's 154-position model. The record is from RNAcentral.